Molecule: ribosomal RNA, 450 nt
Filed under: uncultured bacterium
Lineage: Bacteria
Description: bacterial SSU rRNA
Rfam family: Bacterial small subunit ribosomal RNA
Source: RNAcentral
GACGAACGCUGGCGGCGUGCUUAACACAUGCAAGUCGAGCGGUAAGGCCCUUUCGGGGGUACACGAGCGGCGAACGGGUGAGUAACACGUGGGUGACCUGCCCUCAGCUCUGGGAUAAGCCUGGGAAACUGGGUCUAAUACUGGAUAUGACUCCACGGUGCAUGUCGUGGGGUGGAAAGCCUUGUGCGGCUGAGGAUGGGCCCGCGGCCUAUCAGCUUGUUGGUGGGGUGAUGGCCUACCAAGGCGACGACGGGUAGCCGGCCUGAGAGGGCGACCGGCCACACUGGGACUGAGACACGGCCCAGACUCCUACGGGAGGCAGCAGUGGGGAAUAAUUGGACAAUGGGCGCAAGCCUGAUCCAGCGAUGCCGCGUGUGUGAAGAAGGCCUGCGGGUUGUAAAGCACUUUCAGUAGGGAAGAAAACCCGAAGUGCUAAUAUCACUCGGUCUU